GGUGACUCCUUUGCAUGAUGCACUGUCAAACGGACAUGUAGAAAUUGGCAAGCUGCUACUACAGCAUGGGGGUCAUACUCCCUGUCACAAACUCCAGCUGAACUAACUUGGAGGAGGAUCUUCCCUGACAGCUCUGGUUGGUUGUGAUUUAUGAAUACCAUUCAAGAGGUCACUAUCGAUCUUCAAAAUACAUCAAUUCUAAGUAGACAACCUUCCACCUUUGAAGAACAAAACUUUUACUGUUUCAAAAACACAUUAGACAAGAACGUGGUUCGAUCAACAGGGCAUAGGAUUCAUGAAAUCAACAUUUAUUCAUAUGGUAUCACCUGGGGCAGCAGGAAUGCUUCUGGUUCUGAUUAAAACCACCGCAACAACUUGUGGAUCUAAGGACUUUGUUCUUAAAUUAAUU
Molecule: small RNA, 409 nt
Filed under: Pan troglodytes (chimpanzee)
Lineage: Eukaryota; Metazoa; Chordata; Mammalia; Primates; Hominidae
Description: processed transcript
Source: RNAcentral